GAACGGGGAGGAGCCCAGAGCCUGAAUCAGCAUGUGUGUUAGUGGAAGCGUCUGGAAAGGCGCGCGAUACAGGGUGACAGCCCCGUACACAAAAGCGCAUGUGCUGUGAGCUCGAUGAGUAGGGCGGGACACGUGGUAUCCUGUCUGAAUAUGGGGGGACCAUCCUCCAAGGCUAAAUACUCCUGACUGACCGAUAGUGAACCAGUACCGUGAGGGAAAGGCGAAAAGAACCCCGGCGAGGGGAGUGAAAAAGAACCUGAAACCGUGUACGUACAAGCAGUGGGAGCACCCUUUGGGGUGUGACUGCGUACCUUUUGUAUAAUGGGUCAGCGACUUAUAUUCUGUAGCAAGGUUAACCGAAUAGGGGAGCCGUAGGGAAACCGAGUCUUAACCGGGCGUUAAGUUGCAGGGUAUAGACCCGAAACCCGGUGAUCUAGCCAUGGGCAGGUUGAAGGUUGGGUAACACUAACUGGAGGACCGAACCGACUAAUGUUGAAAAAUUAGCGGAUGACCUGUGGCUGGGGGUGAAAGGCCAAUCAAACCGGGAGAUAGCUGGUUCUCCCCGAAAGCUAUUUAGGUAGCGCCUCGUGAAUUCAUCUCCGGGGGUAGAGCACUGUUUCGGCUAGGGGGCCAUCCCGGCUUACCAACCCGAUGCAAACUGCGAAUACCGGAGAAUGUUAUCACGGGAGACACACGGCGGGUGCUAACGUCCGUCGUGAAGAGGGAAACAACCCAGACCGCCAGCUAAGGUCCCAAAGUCAUGGUUAAGUGGGAAACGAUGUGGGAAGGCCCAGACAGCCAGGAUGUUGGCUUAGAAGCAGCCAUCAUUUAAAGAAAGCGUAAUAGCUCACUGGUCGAGUCGGCCUGCGCGGAAGAUGUAACGGGGCUAAACCAU
This 895-nucleotide ribosomal RNA is filed under the name Salmonella enterica. Its description in RNAcentral is "partial 23S ribosomal RNA". It matches the Rfam family "Bacterial large subunit ribosomal RNA", at positions 290 to 1190 of the family's 2925-position model. Lineage: Bacteria; Pseudomonadati; Pseudomonadota; Gammaproteobacteria; Enterobacterales; Enterobacteriaceae. The record is from RNAcentral.